UCCGUUAUGGUCUAGUGGCUAGGAUUUGUCGCUCUCACGAAUUGUUCCAAAGAACAAUCGAAGCGCCGACAAGGCCGGGGUUCAAUUCCCCGUGACGGAA
Molecule: non-coding RNA, 100 nt
Organism: Phyllosticta citriasiana
Lineage: Eukaryota; Fungi; Ascomycota; Dothideomycetes; Botryosphaeriales; Phyllostictaceae
Source: the annotation of a GenBank genome assembly